Molecule: ribosomal RNA, 253 nt
Filed under: uncultured bacterium
Lineage: Bacteria
Description: partial 16S ribosomal RNA
Rfam family: Bacterial small subunit ribosomal RNA
Source: RNAcentral
UACGAAGGGGGCUAGCGUUGCUCGGAAUCACUGGGCGUAAAGGGCGCGUAGGCGGCGUUUUAAGUCGGGGGUGAAAGCCUGUGGCUCAACCACAGAAUGGCCUUCGAUACUGGGACGCUUGAGUAUGGUAGAGGUUGGUGGAACUGCGAGUGUAGAGGUGAAAUUCGUAGAUAUUCGCAGGAACACCGGUGGCGAAGGCGGCCAACUGGACCAUUACUGACGCUGAGGCGCGAAAGCGUGGGGAGCAAACAGG